GGAGGAUUACCCAAGUCUGGCUGAAGGGAACGGUCUUGAAAACCGUCAGGUGGGUAAAACCACGCAAGAGUUCGAAUCUCUUAUCCUCCU
The sequence is a transfer RNA, 90 nucleotides long. It matches the Rfam family "tRNA". Rfam says of the family: Transfer RNA (tRNA) molecules are approximately 80 nucleotides in length. Their secondary structure includes four short double-helical elements and three loops (D, anti-codon, and T loops). The record is from Rfam.